Molecule: ribosomal RNA, 1311 nt
Filed under: Triticum aestivum (bread wheat)
Lineage: Eukaryota; Viridiplantae; Streptophyta; Magnoliopsida; Poales; Poaceae
Description: partial small subunit ribosomal RNA
Source: RNAcentral
AUGAUCGUGAGUAGAUCGGAGGGGAGGUUCAGCCAGUCCGGUUGUUCCUUCUGGGCCGCCAUUGCUCGUUCGUCGAUUCGGGCCAAGAUCAACGCAAGGCACGACGGCCGGUGUGGAACAAGAUCGAGCGAUACACACGCACCAAGUUGGUUAACGCGACAUCCUUUUUUCAGCGAGGAAGUGGCUAACGCCAUCCUGCAGAUCCCAAUAAAUUUGGAUGGUGGAGCUGACUAUGUUCGCUGGCCUUUCACUAAGUACGGCGAUUACACUGUCCGCUCUGCAUAUAACUUGGCAAGGACGAGCCGUUUUGUUGCGUAUCGGAGCUGCAAUGGGUUGGGUCAGCAUUCCGGUUGGUCCUCGGAGGAGAAACUGUGGAAGAAACUGUGGAAAAUCAAAGUGCCGAAUAAGAUGAAGGUGGUGCUGUGGAGGUUUGCGCAUGAUUGUCUGCCCUCGGGCGAGCAACUUCGCCGGCGUCAGGUCCCAACGAGGACUGACUGCUAUUUCUGUGGUCGUCACGAAAGUAUCGAGCAUACGAUGCUUUUUUGCCCCCAUGCUCGGGCUGUCUGGGAUGAGGUGAAGGCUUGUCUCUCUGUCAAGCUGUGUCGCUCAUCUUUUGCGAAUCCAAAGCAAUGGUUGUUCAGUUUCCUGUCCCGUGCCUCUGAGCACGAAGCCUCCAUCAUGACGGUCGCCUUUUGGCAUAUCUGGGAAGCUCGUAAUGUGGCGCGGAAUGAACCUGAUGCUCCUCCUCCUAAGCGUACAGCAGCGAAGGUGCGUGCUUAUAUGGACAUGAUCUUCCAACAUCUUUUCAAACCGGACUCUGCAUCUAAGUGUGUGGCUCCAGCUUCUGUCUCUUCGUCGCCUCUGCCGCCGCUUGGUACUUUGCUUGUGUCUGCUGAUGCAGCUGUUGCCCCGUCCGGUAUUUUGGCCGCUGCUGGAGUUGUCGUUCUAGACCACACGGGCAUGUGUGUUGCUGCUGCUUCUGAACCCCUCCCGGGUGUUUCUUCUCCUGAAGUGGCGGAGGCUCUUGCCCUUCGCUGCGCGGCCAGGUUGGUCAGAGACGAGAGUUAUGCUAAUGUGAUCUUUCAAUCGGAUUGUCUCUCGGUGAUUCAACGGCUAAACUCUUCGGUCCGGGACCGCUCCACCGUCGGUUCCUUUGUUGCUGAAAUCAAGUCGGCAUGUGGGGCUCUAUCUUCUGUGACUUUCAAGCAUGUUCGUUGGCAUCGUAAUGUGUUAGCUCAUGUUUUGGCUCGGUCUAGUCUAAACUCUGUAAAUCCUUGUAUUUUUCAUUCUGCUCCGGGAGACCUUGUGUAA